Molecule: transfer RNA, 108 nt
Filed under: Fusarium pseudograminearum
Lineage: Eukaryota; Fungi; Ascomycota; Sordariomycetes; Hypocreales; Nectriaceae
Description: tRNA-Leu
Rfam family: tRNA
About the family: Transfer RNA (tRNA) molecules are approximately 80 nucleotides in length.
Source: RNAcentral
GUCAAGAUGGCCGAGUGGUCUAAGGCGCUGCACUCAAGAAAUUCUCUUGCCUGGUUACCUGGGUUUGCAGUAUCGAAAGAUGCCUGGGUUCAAAUCCCAGUUUUGACA